This is a long non-coding RNA of Gorilla gorilla gorilla (western lowland gorilla), 565 nucleotides long. RefSeq lists it as uncharacterized. The transcript is spliced from 2 exons. The record is from RefSeq and is a predicted model, not a curated record. NCBI's taxonomy places the organism in Eukaryota, Metazoa, Chordata, Mammalia, Primates, Hominidae.
CCUAAGUAGGUCACCUAAUCGGUUGUUUACUUUGCUGUUGGAUACGAAGCAUGAUAAACUAAGCAGGGAGAAAACUGUAUAAGUUCCAUCUCCAUAACAACGAAGAUGAGAACAAUUACAAGAGACCCUUGCCAGCCACCUCCACAAAAUCAGUUUUAACCUCAGAGCAAUGAGGAGUGACAUAGCAAACUACGUCUGAUGUCUGAACAACACAGGGCAUUGGGCCAGGCAGGAAAGUUUCAUUGUAUUGAGCAGCAGGGACUGGACAUCUCCAACUGCAGCCAAAUUCUGCAGAUUAUUGAGAAAACAGUUUGCAAAGGAGUGAGAAAACGUCAUUCAAGAAAACUUUCCUGGUUUGGGUGGACAUAGCCGAAGUGGAUUUGAAUAUCUGUCUUUACAAGUCAAAAUUUAUACCAGGAAGCUCUAAUGAAAAUGGUGUCACUCAACAAAUCUAUAAGUAAAUUCAUUCUAAAGACUUAAUGAAUUCAUUCCCAACAUCUGGAACAUUAUUAAUUUCCUUUCAUUCUCUGCAACCUACAUAAUUAAAUUAAGAAAUUAUAAUUUA